CUCCCCGAAAUGCAUUUAGGUGCAGCGUCACGCGUUUCUUAUCGGAGGUAGAGCACUGGAUGAGCUAGGGGGCCCAAAAGCUUACUGAACCCAACCAAACUCCGAAUGCCGAUAAGUGAGAGCGUGGCAGUGAGACUGCGGGCGAUAAGGUUCGUAGUCGAGAGGGAAACAGCCCAGACCACCAACUAAGGCCCCCAAGCGUAUGCUAAGUGGGAAAGGAUGUGGAGUCGCAUAGACAACCAGGAGGUUGGCUUAGAAGCAGCCACCCUUAAAAGAGUGCGUAAUAGCUCACUGGUCAAGUGAUUCCGCGCCGACAAUGUAACGGGGCUCAAGCAUACCGCCGAAGUUGUGGCAUUCAUACCGAUAACCCGGCCGCAAGGUCCAGGUGUAUGGAUGGGUAGGGGAGCGUCGUGUGGCCAGCGAAGCGGCGGGGUAACCCAGCCGUGGAGGCCACACGAGUGAGAAUGCAGGCAUGAGUAGCGAAUGACGGGUGAGAAACCCGUCCGCCGGAUGAUCAAGGGUUCCAGGGCUAGGCUAAUCCGCCCUGGGUAAGUCUGGACCUAAGGCGAGGCCGACAGGCGUAGUCGAUGGACAACGGGUUGAUAUUCCCGUACCGGUGUUAACGCGCCCAUGACGAACCUCAUAAUGCUAAGAGUAUGAAGCGUCGAGCUCCUUCGGGAGUGAGAACGUGGAGCACUCGAACCGAGUGGGUAGUAGUCAAACGAUGGGGUGACGCAGGAAGGUAGCUUAACCGCGGCGAUGGUAGUCCGCGGCCAAGGUUGUAGGGCGAGAUAUAGGCAAAUCCGUAUCUCAUGCGCCUGAGAACUGAUGGGGAGCCGAUUGUGGCGAAGUAAGUGAUCCUAUGCUGCCGAGAAAAGCCUCUAGUGAGUGUUAACGCCGCCAGUACCCCAAACCAACACAGGUGAUCAGGUAGAGAAUACUAAGGCGAUCGAGUGAACUAUGGUUAAGGAACUCGGCAAAAUACCCCCGUAACUUCGGGAGAAGGGGGGCCAAUUCUGGUGUAGGGGCUUGCCCCCGAAGCUGGAAGGGGCCGCAGAGACCAGGCUGAAGCGACUGUUUACUAAAAACACAGGUCCAUGCAAAGUUGCAAAACGACGUAUAUGGACUGACUCCUGCCCGGUGCUGGAACGUUAAGGGGACCGGUUAGCUCUUCGGAGCGAAGCUGAGAACUUAAGCGCCAGUAAACGGCGGUGGUAACUAUAACCAUCCUAAGGUAGCGAAAUUCCUUGUCGGGUAAGUUCCGACCUGCACGAAUGGAGUAACGACUUCAGCGCUGUCUCAACCAUAGGCUCGGCGAAAUUGCACUACGAGUAAAGAUGCUCGUUACGCGUGGCAGGACGGAAAGACCCCGGGACCUUUACUAUAGCUUGGUAUUGGUGGUCGAUUCAAUUUGUGUAGGAUAGGUGGGAGACUGUGAAGCAUGGACGCUAGUCCGUGUGGAGUCAUCGUUGAAAUACCACUCUGAUUGUAUUGGCUGUCUAACCUCGAACCGUGAUCCGGUUUAGGGACAGUGCCUGGUGGGUAGUUUAACUGGGGCGGUUGCCUCCCAAAAAGUAACGGAGGCGCUCAAAGGUUCCCUCAGCCUGGUUGGUAAUCAGGUGUCGAGUGCAAGUGCACAAGGGAGCUUGACUGUGAGACUGACAAGUCGAGCAGGGACGAAAGUCGGAACUAGUGAUCCGGCGUCGGCAAGUGGAAGCGGCGUCGCUCAACGGAUAAAAGGUACCCCGGGGAUAACAGGCUGAUCUUGCCCAAGAGUCCAUAUCGACGGCAUGGUUUGGCACCUCGAUGUCGGCUCGUCGCAUCCUGGGGCUGGAGUAGGUCCCAAGGGUUGGGCUGUUCGCCCAUUAAAGCGGUACGCGAGCUGGGUUUAGAACGUCGUGAGACAGUUCGGUCCCUAUCCGCCACGCGCGCAGGAGUCUUGAGGAAACCUGUCCCUAGUACGAGAGGACCGGGACGGACGAACCUCUGGUGUGCCAGUUGUCCUGCCAAGGGCACGGCUGGUUAGCUACGUUCGGAAGGGAUAACCGCUGAAAGCAUCUAAGCGGGAAGCCCGUUCCAAGAUAAGGACUCCCACAGGGUUAACCUGGUAAGGACCCCAGUAGAUGACUGGGUUGAUAGGCCGGAAGUGGAAGUGCAGUAAUGCAUGCAGCUGACCGGUACUAAUAGUCCGAGGACUUGCCUCA
RNAcentral lists this ribosomal RNA (2204 nucleotides) under Actinomycetota bacterium. RNAcentral describes it as "partial 23S ribosomal RNA". It matches the Rfam family "Bacterial large subunit ribosomal RNA", at positions 855 to 2925 of the family's 2925-position model. Lineage: Bacteria; Bacillati; Actinomycetota. The record is from RNAcentral.